AACUCCAAUAGCGUAUAUUUAAGUUGUUGCAGUUAAAAAGCUCGUAGUUGCAUUUUGGGUUGGGUUGACUGGUCCACCUUAGGUGUGCACCGGUCGUCUCGUCCCUUCUACUGGCGAUGCGCUCCUGGUCUUAAUUGGCCGGGUGCCUCCGGCGCUAUUGCUUUGAACAAAUUAGAGUGCUCAAAGAAAGCCUACACUCUGGAUACAUUAGCAUGGGAUAACAUCAUAGGAUAGUCAGGGGCAUUCGUAUUUCAUAGUUAGAGGUGAAAUUCUUGGAUUUAUGAAAGAUGAACAACUGCGAAAGCAUUUGCAAAGGAUGUUUUCA
RNAcentral lists this ribosomal RNA (325 nucleotides) under uncultured eukaryote. RNAcentral's name for it is "SSU rRNA". It matches the Rfam family "Eukaryotic small subunit ribosomal RNA", at positions 587 to 972 of the family's 1831-position model. The record is from RNAcentral.